Molecule: long non-coding RNA, 543 nt
Organism: Drosophila ananassae
Lineage: Eukaryota; Metazoa; Arthropoda; Insecta; Diptera; Drosophilidae
Exons: 3
Source: RefSeq, a predicted model, not a curated record
UUGGGCACACUAGAUAAUUAUUGCGCGCUCGUGGUGAGUUUGUCGUCGAAAGCCAUGAAGUGUGGGAGGUUAUACUGCGAAUAAAAGAUACUUGCGCAUAUAUAUAUAUAUAGUUGCAUACAUACAUGCACGCUUAUACACUUUUUGCUUGUGUAUAAGGCGGCGGGUCGACCCAUCGCCGCCGUAUGUUAAAGGCAACUCCCACCCGAGUGACGACAGAAGCUUUUAUUCUAUCUUGCACAGGCUGCGCAAAAUGCCUGGACGACAUGAUGCAGCAUUCGUAUUGGUCCCGCAACCGAGUGCAGGGACGUCGCAAAAAAAAAAUUUUUUAAAUACAGUAAAAAAAUUUGAUACAUCGUAUGGAAUUACAGUGCCAAAAUUUCAUUACUAGGCAUCCAAUUUAUUUGUAUUUAAAUUAUUUAGAGUAUAAAAAUAUAACUCCUCUCCCCCUUCACACAAGCUUUUCAAAAUAUAAUGUAAUGAGGUUCUAAAGUUCCUUUUAUGAUAUGUAUAUAAGAAUAAAUGUAUUUAAAUCAUUAAAAA